Molecule: ribosomal RNA, 459 nt
Filed under: uncultured bacterium
Lineage: Bacteria
Description: partial 16S ribosomal RNA
Rfam family: Bacterial small subunit ribosomal RNA
Source: RNAcentral
CCUACGGGAGGCAGCAGUGAGGAAUAUUGGUCAAUGGGCUUACGCCUGAACCAGCCAAGUCGCGUGAGGGAAGACUGCCCUAUGGGUUGUAAACCUCUUUUGUCAGGGAGCAACGCCGGCUACGUGUAGCCGGACUGAGAGUACCUGAAGAAAAAGCAUCGGCUAACUCCGUGCCAGCAGCCGCGGUAAUACGGAGGAUGCGAGCGUUAUCCGGAUUUUUUGGGUUUAAAGGGUGCGUAGGCGGAAUGCCAAGUCAGCGGUAAAAUCGCGGGGCUCAACCUCGCUCCGCCGUUGACACUGGCGUUCUUGAGUGGGCGAGAAGUAUGCGGAAUGCGUGUUGUAGCGGUGAAAUGCAUAGAUAUCACGCAGAAAUCCGAUUGCGAAGGGAGCAUACCGGCGCCCAACUGACGCUGAAGCACGAAAGCGUGGGUAUCGAACAGGAUUAGAUACCCUGUAGUC